RNAcentral lists this transfer RNA (85 nucleotides) under bacterium. Its description in RNAcentral is "tRNA-Leu". It matches the Rfam family "tRNA". Rfam says of the family: Transfer RNA (tRNA) molecules are approximately 80 nucleotides in length. The record is from RNAcentral. RNAcentral also lists the same sequence under 2 other names.
GCGAGGGUGGCGGAAUCGGUAGACGCGCUAGAUUUAGGAUCUAGUGAGGAAACUCAUGGGGGUUCGAGUCCCCCCUCUCGCACCA